RNAcentral lists this long non-coding RNA (1615 nucleotides) under Malus domestica (apple). RNAcentral describes it as "long non-coding RNA (MDOM_LNC001397)". The record is from RNAcentral. Lineage: Eukaryota; Viridiplantae; Streptophyta; Magnoliopsida; Rosales; Rosaceae.
UUUGGUGGCAUAGGCAGUGCAUGGCCUUCGACACUUGGCGGUGGAGCAUUAUUUGGUGGUGCAGAAGGUACAUGAACUUCAAUGCUUAGUGGUGGAGGAGCAUUAUUUGGUGGCAUAGGCGGUACAUGGCCUUCAACACUUGCAGGUGGAGGAGAAUUAGUUGGUGGCAUAGAUGGUACAUGACCUUCAACAUUUGGUGGUGGAGGAGCAUUAUUUGGUGGUGCAGUAGGUGCAUGAACUUCAAUGCUUAAUGGUGGAGGAACAUUAAUUGGUGGUGUGGGCGGUACAUGACCUUCAACACUUGGUGGUGGACGAGAAUUAGCUGGUGGCAGAGAUGGUACAUGACCUUCAACACUUGGUAGUGGAGGAGCAUCUUUUGGUGGCACCGACGGUGCUUGACUUUCAACACUUGGUGGUGGAGGAGAAGCAUCUUUUGGUGGCAAAGACGGUACUUGACUUUCAACACUUGGUGGUGCAGGAGCAUUAUUUGGUGGCUCUGACGGUACAUGUUCAGUACUUGGUGGUGGAGAAGCAGUUUUUGGUGGCAUAGGCGGUACAUGGCCUUCAACACUUGGUGGUGGAGGAGAAUUAGUCGGUGGCAUAGAUCGUACAUGGCCUUCAACACUUGGUGGCGGAGGAUCAUUAUUUGGUGGUGCAGUAGGUACAUGAACUUCAAUGCUUAGUGGUGGAGGAACUUUAAUUGGUGGCGUAGGCGGUACACGACCUUCAACACUUGGUGAUGGAGGAGAAUUAGCUGGUGGCAAAGAUGGUACAUGACCUUCAACACUUGGUAGUGGAGGAGCAUCUUUUGGUGGCACCGACGGUGCUUGACUUUCAACACUUGGUGGUGGAGGAGAAGCAUCUUUUGGUCGCAAAGGCGGUACUUGACUUUCAACACUUGGUGGUGGAGGAGCAUUAUUUGGUGGCUCUGACGGUACAUGUUCAGUACUUAGUGGUGGAGAAGCAGUUUUUGGUGGCAUAGGCGGUACAUGGCCUUCAACACUUGCAGGUGGAGGAGAAUUAGUUGGUGGCAUAGAUGGUACAUGACCUUCAACACUUGGUGGCGGAGGAGCGUUAUUUGGUGGUGUAGUAGGUACAUGAACUUCAAUGCUUAGUGGUGGAGGAACAUUAAUUGGUGGCGUAGGCGGUACACGACCUUCAACACUUGGUGAUGGAGGAGAAUUAGCUGGUGGCAAAGAUGGUACAUAACCUUCAACACUUGGUAGUGGAGGAGUAUCUUUUGGUGGCACCGACGGUACUUGACUUUCAACACUUGGUGGUGGAGGAGCAUUAGUUGCUGGCGCUAACGGUACAUGAACUUCAGUACUUAGUGGUGGAGGAGCAGUUUUUGGUGGCAUAGGUGGUACAUGGCCUUCAUCACUUGCUGGUGGAGGAGAAUUAGGAGGUGGCAUAGAUGGUACAUGACCUCCAACACUUGGUGGUGGAGGAGCAUUAUUUGGUGGUGCAGAAGGUACAUGAACUUCAAUGCUUAGUGGAGGAGGAACGUUAAUUGGUGGCUUAGGCGGUACAUGACCUUCAACACUUGGUGGUGGAGGAGAAUUAGUUGGUGGCACAGACGGUACAUGACCUUCAACACUUGGUGGUGGAGGAGCAU